UGUCCAGGGGCGGGAAUCGAACCCACAACCUUCUGCUUACCGGGCAGGUGCCAUGUCCACUAGGCACCCUGUU
Cordylochernes scorpioides is the source of this 73-nucleotide non-coding RNA. The record is from the annotation of a GenBank genome assembly. Lineage: Eukaryota; Metazoa; Arthropoda; Arachnida; Pseudoscorpiones; Chernetidae.